This 374-nucleotide unclassified non-coding RNA is filed under the name soil metagenome. Its description in RNAcentral is "partial contains internal transcribed spacer 2 and large subunit ribosomal RNA". The stretch from base 1 to 120 matches the Rfam family "5.8S ribosomal RNA", at positions 35 to 154 of the family's 154-position model. The record is from RNAcentral.
GAUGAAGAACGUAGCGAAAUGCGAUAAUUAAUGUGAAUUGCAGAAUUCCGUGAAUCAUCGAGUCUUUGAACGCACAUUGCGCCUCAUGGCAUUCCGUGAGGCAUGCCCAUCUCAGCGUUAGAAAAUAUUCUCAAAUUUUAGUUUUGUGCUAAAAUUUGGAUCAUGUCAAGGAAGCUAUUACUAUUAUUGUGAUCGCUCUUUGGAAAUUGAUAGGUCUUUGAGUUGCUUCUCAUAGAACGUGAUGAAUCUUUCUUCGUUCUAUUGUAAUUCACUCUGGUAGUCCUAAAACUUGUAUGCCUGUGGCAUAUCUUGUAAUUUGACCUGAGAUUGGGUAGGGAUACCCGCUGAACUUAAGCAUAUCAAUAAGCGGAGGA